GUUUGUGUUUCUUCUGAGCUCCUGCAGUUAAGGAACCAAAGGUCCUCGGGGUAUUAGAGCAGGAGAUCAGGAUAUCGGCUCACGCACACACAGUGGCAUCUCAGCGACCUCUUGCGUAACCAGGCAUACCUCCUGGUAAUGGAUAUUAAUGGUCCCGGGCAGUCCUCUAUGGCGCAGUGGCUGAGAGUUGUCUGUUUGACCUCGUCUUCAAGCUGGGAGACCUGGAACCCAGGGGUGGUUGGCCCUGUAGGGAUCUGUGUCACCAUCAGCAUGCAUUACACUCAAGCCUUGUUGGAGCAGUAAAUGUCUUCCGUUUGAGCUGCUGGCUGACCUUCUAGCACUCUGGCCUUUUCCACUGUUCUCACCUUCACCAGCAAGGCAACUGUGGAAUUGCAUGUGUCAAGCUCUGCCACCUCCGCCAUCUCGCAACGUGCCUCGAUGGAAACCUUUGGCUAACGUUGCAUGCGUUCCUUCUGGGCUUGCAAUUCCUACAACAGUGGCUGCUUUGUUUGGACUCUCGAUUUAACCAAUCAAUACCCAAUACAAAAAAAGUUUGCGUU
Molecule: long non-coding RNA, 560 nt
Organism: Hippocampus comes (tiger tail seahorse)
Lineage: Eukaryota; Metazoa; Chordata; Actinopteri; Syngnathiformes; Syngnathidae
Exons: 3
Source: RefSeq, a predicted model, not a curated record